GGACGAAGAAGAAAGGAAAAAUGGAAGUGGAAGAGGAGGAGGAGCCAAGCCACAAUAUUUAGGUCCGCAGAAAACAACACGCCGAUUUAUUUGAAGUCAAGGACGGAGAUUAAAACGGCCUUGAAAAACACCACACCUGUUUUGUCCACCGCCAUCACCACCUUUUCCCAGAUCAAGGAAGUGUAUUACAGACUCACACAUAAGGAAGAGGUGUGAGGUUGCGUGGUAGGUGCGUUCACUGGUCUGGGCUGUGUUGGUGCGUGUUCUGAAGAGAUGACUGCAGAAACGCUGGCUGCUGAUGACUACAGCCGCACAGAGGUAGUGUAUUGUACAAGCUGGAUGGAAGUAUGCAAACCUCGCAAUGAAGAUGGAAA
This 374-nucleotide unclassified non-coding RNA is filed under the name Portunus trituberculatus (swimming crab). RNAcentral's name for it is "uncharacterized LOC123500318, transcript variant X5". Lineage: Eukaryota; Metazoa; Arthropoda; Malacostraca; Decapoda; Portunidae. The record is from RNAcentral.